AAACUGGAAUAGCACCUGAGAUUUCCUGGGAGUCAUCAAGCUAGUAGCAUCAGGUUUUAAGCUUGCUAAGGCUCUCGCGUCUUGCAGUAUCCUGAAGUUUUGGUCCUUUUGGCCUGCUAUGAUGAGCAUGGUCAGUGUUCAGAGGUGACACGGGUGUUGCUGUCCAGAUCACUAGCUAUCCCUGCUUUUAUGUCUUGCUCUUGGUUAGGUCACUGGGGAGCCCUUGAUACGCCGGUCAGAUGACAACGAAGGAGCUUUGAAGACUCGUCUGCAGGCUUACCACACCCAGACGUCGCCGCUGGUUAACUACUAUAGCAGGCGUGGGAUCCAUACGGCUGUGGAUGCUUCCCAGUCCCCUGAUGUGGUUUUUGCCAGCAUCCUGGCAGCUUUCUCAAAGCAACAUCCGCAUGAAUCCAGGAAGUGGACGAGACAGGACAGAACACCAUCGAAUGCUGCAUGUUCAUCACCCUCACCCUUUUGCCUUCAAGCCAAGGGGGCAAAGGAAGGGAGGGGCAAGGAAAGGGGCAGGAAGCACAAGGGGUAACUUGACAGGAAUUUUGUUUUAAGAAAGUCAAACCAGAAUUUAGGGAGGAAAAUGUGUACUGUAUUGUGUUGAAAUGGGCUUGUAAAGGCUGGAUAUCACCAUAGCUCUGACUCUAGACAGUUGCAUUGUAAAAAUUAACUUGGCAGGGAGGGGAAGCUAUCUUGGACCCAGUUGUUUUCCCUGGAUGGUCCCAGUGAUUUAGGAAGUUCAUUGGAGGCACAGCGCAGAAAUUAGCAGACUAUGCACUGCAAGAAAUCCGCUCAAAGGCUUCUCUAAGCCCAGGAGUUCCAGCUGUGCACAAGUCCUUGUUUCUGCUGUGCCUUUUCUCCACGUAGCCUCCACUUGGGGGACAAUUUUGGCCUCAGGUAUAACGGCUCUUUCAAUCACUCCCGCUGCAGAGAUGCUGCAGAAUUCCUGCAUCAGCAAUUGGCAUCUGAAGUCAUCACCUUCUGGAUGGGGCAGUGCUGCCUGCUUUACUGUUCAGAGUAGUAUUCACUUAAAUAUUGAAAGAUCAGAACCAAGAACACUCCCCCUGCCCUCAAACAACUGCAGUUUCCAGUUCUUUUACUUGCCAUCCUUUUAGGGCCCACCUGCUACUUCAAUAAAAUGGCUGUCACUUUUGUACCUGAA
Molecule: non-coding RNA, 1174 nt
Organism: Podarcis muralis (Common wall lizard)
Lineage: Eukaryota; Metazoa; Chordata; Lepidosauria; Squamata; Lacertidae
Source: RefSeq, a predicted model, not a curated record